Molecule: long non-coding RNA, 4744 nt
Filed under: Olea europaea subsp. europaea
Lineage: Eukaryota; Viridiplantae; Streptophyta; Magnoliopsida; Lamiales; Oleaceae
Source: RNAcentral
CGCAACUUUUUUCACUAUCUACCUAGACCUUUUCCCUUUCUUUUGUAGUUGUGUUUCUAGGUCUGUUGAAACUUGAAAUCUUAACCCAUUUUUUAAGUGAAUUUGCAAUUUUCUCUAAUAUCUAUCGCUUCAUCAGUUCCUGUGCUCAGCCCAGCUUCAUCAGGCUCUGUUGUGGCUGAUUUUACAAGGUCGGCAAAAAUUAGAGGCUGGAAACGACGUGGGUUUCUUUUUUGUUUUUUUAAUUUCGCCUGUUUGUUGAUCUAUCUUCAUUUCUAAGACUAUUAUAUGAAGGCUUGCAUAUGCCUUUCGUUUUUCUUGCUAUUUGUGGUGGAAGUUAGCUAUCUUCCUAUGUAUUUUAUUGAUCUUAACAUUCUUGGAGGCUUCGAAUUUGAGCCUCAUGCUUUUAAAGUUGAUAUAUUACCUUAUAUUAUCUGAUAAUAGAAAUUGAUUUUAUUUUUUUUAACCCAAACCUUAUAAGCCUAAUUCAAUCAUUUACUUCCCUUAUCUUUACUUUAUUAAUUUUAGAGGAAGAAGAAAGGACUCAUCGAGAACAAAGGAAAAAUGUGAACAGGAAGUAUUUGACCAUCUUUAUAUUUGGAUACCACUUCAAACAAUAAAAAUCAUAAAAACAGAGAAGUGGGAAAAGGCAACAGGAAACUCAAGCUUGGAGAAAUUGUUUUGGCUAUAAUAUAUGGUAAGCCAUGGUGCCUUUAUUUGAAGAAUUAGUUUAGAUAUGUAUAUUUUUAUCUGUUAAGAUUAACAGUUUCAUUCCUAAUCUCAUAUUCAGGAUUUUCAUAAAUACGAAGGGGAUUAUAAAUGAUAUAAAUUUACUUAGAAUUGAUAUGAUGAUUACUUGUUCUGACUUCUAUUUCCGUUUUUCAACUAUGGCAUAACAUUAGCCAAAAUUUAGUUUCAUAUGUUUAUAGAUCUAGAAUCAAAUUGUUUUGAUUCAAUUGUGUUGGAAAGAGAAGAAACCCAACAAAACCAUGUGGAUUAAAAUUGUUGGAAGAGAAAAGGCAAAUAGAGAAAUGGAUUUCAUUUGAUAAUCAUGUGUGAAGUAUACUUUUAUUAGGAGAGAAGACAACAAAUAUUAAAUUAAGUUGAACAGAGCAUAAAUGAAAAGAAAAGAAUUGCAAUAUUUUAUUGUCUAAUUGCGACUAAAAAUAUGAAUGAUGUUCCCUUCCGUCAGUUAACCUUUCAGCAAAUUGGGAAAUCACAAAAAUAGGUUUCCAGAAUCAUAUCUACAAGAGCAUGUAUGUAUGUAUAUUCAAAUGGAGAAAGCAACAUUAGUAUUACAAGGUAUAUAUAUAUAUUGCUUUCAGUCAGCCAUAAGAAAAGGAAAGUGCGAAAAGGAAAUUAGUUACUUUGUUGCUUACAGGCAGUUUGAAAUCCCAAUGGAAAUGAGUAACAAUUCAAUUCUUACAAAGAAAUCUAUUAAUUUACAGGUUAUUGAUCUUGAAAGUAAUGUAUUCAUAAGGGAUUUCCUCGGGGUAAGUUAAACAAUUUUAAUUAUCUAUACUUUCGUGGAAAUAGCUGCUCAAGUUCCAUUCCUUUCAUUUUUGGCAAUUUCACAUUGGUUUAGAGUCUUAAUUUUAGAGCCAAUCACUUAAUUGGAGCGUUUCUUGAUAAAUUGAUGCUUGUGAGAGAUUUUACUUAAUUGAAUCUCAAUGGAAACAAGUCUUUGGGUCUAUUGUAGUGAACAUUGGAUAUUUCAAUCAACUUGCAGUUUUGAAUUUUAGUAAUAGUGGUCUGUCGGGUACUAUUACAGAAAACUUUUAGGCUUUAUUUAAGUUUACAGUUCAUUUCGCCAAAAAGAAUUUCUCGAUAAAGUUGCCAAAACAUGUUUGAUCAAUUUUUUUUGCUGCUUAUGUGUAUGGGGCUCGAUUAUAUUAUAGUGGCGAGAUCAUUUUCGAGUAAAGGUAUUUAAAUACAUAUUUUUCUCCAGUUGAUUGUUCAUGGUUUUCUGUACAAGUCUUCGAUUUCGUUCAUCCAUUCUUCUUUUUCUCUUCAUCUAUUUGACUUUUUUUUUAAUAUUUUAUUCAUUUCAUUCUUCCGUUCAUCCUCUCAGGUUCAUUAGUAGCUUCAAUCAUCAUGACAGGAUAAAUGAGCCUGUACUCUCCUCUGCAAAAGGUACAAGACUGCUGGUGGUGAGCUCUAAAAACCAAUCUUUCACUUUUUCAAUCUCAAGCUCAAUUUUGUACUCUCCUAGCGACAUUAUUUCAAUUGCAUAGUGAUAACAAAUUCGACUUUGUAAGUUUACUUUUUUCUAAAUUUUUGCAUGAUUUCUUUGUAUUUCUUUUUUACGUGCAAGUAAACGAUUAGCAAAUUGAGGCGUUUAAUACUGAAUAUGGGGUUAACAUAGGCAUUUAUUACGUCAAUUUUUUGCUUUAAUCGUUGUCUUCUGUAUUGUUUAUAGUGGAAUGUUCCAUUUGGGAUUAAAGGGUAUUGCUUUACUAAUCUCGAUGUAGCUGAUCUUCUGAUCAAUGGGAUAGUUGAUUUGCCUUUGGCGCAAAUUGAUAAAAGUAUAGCUGAAUGAGAACUUUUUCAAUGGUUUGUACAUGAGGUGAUUAAAUGGCCUGUUAUUUUGUACCAUGAUUAAUCAGCACUGUUGUUGGUUCUAUGAAUGAUUUUUUUACCCAGUGCGGUUCUUGUGACUUCAAAUUGUUUUACUUUUACCGUAACUGAAGAUUCUAUAUGUUUCUAGUUUGCAUGUAUUGUAUUUAUAUUAAUCUCUUUAAUUUUUCAAGGUUACAGCAAAUGGUGAUGCUAUUUUAAGUUGUGGUUUUCCUUACUGUGAUUAUCAUUAUACUGAUCAUGUUAUAUUCUAAUCAAGUCAGAACAACUAUAUGGUUUAGAAUGAAUUGGAUACUGAUGAUUUUGCCAGGGAGACCAAGUCGAGAAAUUCCGACCUCUAUGUGAAGUUUAAAUUGACAAAGCAACCAUAGAAAUAACGAGUCCUUACAAAGGAAAAGUUUUCCAUUUUUUUCAUAUUCCAGGCAACAUCGUAAAGGUAACAAUAAAACUGAUAGAACUAGAAUUUAUUUUAAAAUCAAAUGCUUGGGCCACUUUCACAUAAUGGAGUUCUAAUAUCAUCUACCUGUGGUUCCGGAGUUACGUCAAGGAUAGGUGACAGACUUAUGUGUAUAACUCUGUCCAUAGUAAAGGACUUGCUCUUUUAAUAGUCUAAUAUUGAAUUAUCAAUCAUUUUCUUUCAUUUAUGUGUAGAUAAAACUUUCCUCUCUUGCAAGCAAGAUAUUCAAUUUAUGUGAUACCGUGAAAAAAACAUGGUGAACUUCGAAUACUAGAAGGAAUUAAGACUUUAUCCAAGAUUGUUUAACCUUAAGUAAGGCUUGGUCACACUUUUUGAGUUUCUUCCUUGUGUUAUGUUGUGACUUUAUGUUAAAGGCAUAUUAAUUUGUCUGUUCACAAUCGAAUUUAUUAAAACAAAAUAUACUAUACAUUCAUGUUUCUAUUCUAGAUGGCAAUCAUGAAACAAAUGUUCACUUUUAAAAGCUUUCCUUUAUGUACUACUGAAUCCUAGAUCAACUUUCAAUUAUAUGCAUAAACAUUGCAGAAUUUGUAGUUGGAAAGACCAAUUAAGGCAUCAUAAAGUAAAGAUUGAUGACAAUGUUUGCAUUGUGAUGGUGACAGGCUGGUUCUUGAGGUAAUCUUCUCAUAAAAUUUUAGUAAUUGUGGUACAUAUGUGAAUCACAAUAUUCAUGUAAAUAUAUUUUCCUUUUCCAAUCACAAGGUUAGUUCUAAAAUGCAGCUAAAGAUAUUCACUGCAUAGCUUUUUUCAUGUCACUUUUAUUGGAGAUGAGAAUAGUAGCACUUAUGUUGAAAAUAAGGUUGCAUUUUCAUUUUCAUUUUCAUUUUCAUGUUGUUUACUUAUUUGAGUUGAUAAAGCAACUCCAUUAUGGAAAUUAGGGCAUGCUCAAAGCCAAGGUAUUUAUUCACAUAAUAACUACAGUAAGCCUCUGAUGACCUCAUUACUUUUCAUUGUCUUGAAUAGUAUGUCUAAAUAAGCAUAAAAAAAAUUUACAAGAGAAGCAAUAUCUUAGAAAUAUAGUGUUCCUUUAUUAGCCCUUUCAUUUUUAUGCCAUUUCUCUUUUCAUUCAAGAGCGCAACUUCUUUGCAAAAGAACAUACCCCUUGAAGAAGUUUUUCAAUGUCAUCCAUGCACAUGAGAUCGCUUCAGCACGGAUGAAGUUAAAAAAAGAUUGGAGUUAUUUAUGCACAAUAAACUAGAAGAUAAAAAACAUAAGAGUUGCAACCCCUACCCCAACCCACAUGCCUGGCUUCUGGUCAUCUUAUUUAUUUAUUUAUUUAUUUUUUAUUUCUUGAUCUUUUGUAUCUAUACUGUAAUGUCUAUAGGAAAGCAAUUUUUUGAAAAUUUUAAGUUUUAUGUGAAAUCCUCUAUCACAGGUGCUGAAAAGCAGCUGCUUUAAUGGCCAUUGUUCUUGCAAACGGAGGAGUAAGGAUCAUUUCAACUUUUAUCUCUCCUACAUCACCAUUAGUGAAAUAUCGAAGCAAGGGUCUCAAGUUAGAUUUUUUAACUUUUUAGAAUUAUAAGCUUGAUUGUUACAGUUAAAGAAUCAAAUACUGUAAUAAAAUCAUUUCCUAAACCUAUUUUCUACUGCACACCGUCAAACUUUCUUGACUUUGUUGGCCAUAUUAUCUCCCUCCUUAUCAACUUUAGAAUAAGUUUUACUGAGGAAAAUAGUGCUAAAAAUGCAGCGCUUCCC